GUAGGGAAUAUUGGGCAAUGGUCGGAAGACUGACCCAGCCAUGCCGCGUGCAGGAAGACGGCCCUCUGGGUUGUAAACUGCUUUUAUCUGGGAAGAAAAAGGCCAUGCGUGGCAAAUUGCCGGUACCAGAUGAAUAAGCACCGGCUAACUCCGUGUCAGCAGCCGCGGUAAUACGGAGGGUGCGAGCGUUGUCCGGAUUUAUUGGGUUUAAAGGGUGCGUAGGCGGCUGAUUAAGUCAGCGGUGAAAGACUUCGGCUUAACCGGAGCAGUGCCGUUGAUACUGGUUGGCUUGAGUGUCGGAGGGGUACAUGGAAUUGAUGGUGUAGCGGUGAAAUGCAUAGAUACCAUCAGGAACACCGAUAGCGAAGGCAUUGUACUGGCCGACAACUGACGCUGAUGCACGAAAGUGUGGGGAUCGAACAGGAUUAGAUACCCGAGUAGUCC
This 444-nucleotide ribosomal RNA is filed under the name uncultured bacterium. RNAcentral describes it as "partial 16S ribosomal RNA". It matches the Rfam family "Bacterial small subunit ribosomal RNA", at positions 354 to 796 of the family's 1533-position model. The record is from RNAcentral.